GUUUCACGAUUAUCUGAAUAUGGAGUUCAAGGAUUGAUCUUUUCUGAGUUCUUUGUUGCCAUAUUUUCUGUCCAUGUAAUAAGGUUGUGGCUAAAAUAUUGUGUCAAUCGGGCUUGUGUGUUGCUGUUCUAUUCUUGCGUAGUGCAGCUCCGAAGUCGCUGCUACCAGGUGCCCCUGUGCCUAUCAACACUGCUUAUCAACGGGCUAUACCCUUGUAUGGUGGACAUUCACGAAGAGCAAGGUAGGGUUGUUGAAACAAGGAUAGGAUUUUCAUGGCAUGAUUACUACUGCAAGAAGGAUGAAAUACUUUGGUUACAAAUGUGUAGCUCCGGCACCGUUGCUGUUCUGGUCUCGGCCGUGGAGAUGGAACUAUGAUUAAAAGAAAAGAGAACACUACGGAAGGAACCUAAUGAUGCUCAGUGUACUGCUGCUUUCCCACGAUGCUCAUGAUGUCGAAGUCUGCAGUUGCUAGACUGGCCCGAGUAAUUGCUAAGUUUUGUAGAAAAUGUUUAGGCCCAUUUUUGAACGCAUGAAUUUCGUAUAGGCUGUAU
RNAcentral lists this unclassified non-coding RNA (551 nucleotides) under Zea mays. RNAcentral's name for it is "misc RNA Zm00001eb120210". The record is from RNAcentral. Lineage: Eukaryota; Viridiplantae; Streptophyta; Magnoliopsida; Poales; Poaceae.